Molecule: ribosomal RNA, 279 nt
Filed under: uncultured bacterium
Lineage: Bacteria
Description: partial 16S ribosomal RNA
Rfam family: Bacterial small subunit ribosomal RNA
Source: RNAcentral
UGCCAGCCGCCGCGGUAACACGGGGGGUGCAAGCGUUAUUCGGAAUCACUGGGCGUAAAGAGCGCGUAGGCGGUCUCUUAAGUCAGAUGUGAAAGCCCGGGGCUCAACCCCGGAAGUGCAUUUGAAACGGAGGGACUUGAGUAUGGGAGAGGGAAGUGGAAUUCCUGGUGUAGCGGUGAAAUGCGUAGAUAUCAGGAGGAACACCGGUGGCGAUGGCGACUUCCUGGACCAAUACUGACGCUGAGGCGCGAAGGCGUGGGGAGCAAACAGGAUUAGAUA